AUGUCUAUUGGAGGGUCUAGUGAGUAUCAGCCCCGGGGUCAUCUCAUCGCCAAGGACAGCCUGAGCUACAUCAUUAAAACUGUUCCUCCAGCCGGGGUUUUUAUUCCUCGGAGACACAUUGAUGAAUGUUACUGCAAAUUCAGAAAUCAGGUGCACAUAAAAUUUAAGGUCAGGAUAUUAAAGGAAUCACAGCCAGUGUUGUUAAGCCUUCAUUUUUUCUAUCUUUUUGUCUGUUCAGACAAGAUAACUUUUCUACCCAUAUUUUCCAUUCUAGUAGUGGUUACGUUUGUUCUUGGAAAUUUUGCUAAUGACUUCAUAGCAUUGGUAAAUUCCAUUGAAUGGGUCAACAGACAAAAGAUCUCCUCUGCUGACCAAAUUCUCACUGCUCUGGCAGUCUCCAGAGUUGGUUUGCUCUGGGUAAUAUUAUUACUUUGGUAUGCAACUGUUCUGAAUCCAGAUUCAUACAGUUUAGCAGUAAGAAUUACUACUACUAAUGCCUGGGCAGUAACCAACCAUUUCAGCAUCUGGGUUGCUACUAGCCUCGGCAUAUUUUAUUUGCUCAAGAUUGCCAAUUUCUCCAACUUUAUUUUUCUUCACCUGAAAAGGAGGAUUAAGAGUAUCAUUCCAGUGAUACUACUCGGGUCUUUGUUAUUUUUGGCUUGUCAUCUUGUUGUGGUAAACAUGGAUGGGAGUAUGUGGACAAAAGAACAUGAUGGCAAUAUUGAGUUGGGAGAUCAAAUUGAGUGAUCCAAUGCACCUUUCAGAUAUGACUGUAACCACGCUUGCAAACUUAAUAACCUUUAUUCUGUCCCUGAUAUCUUUUCUGUUGUUAAUUUGUUCUUCGAGUAAACAUCUCAAGAAGAUGCAGCUCCAUGGCAGAGGAUCUCCAGAUCCCAACACCAAGGUCCACAUAAAAGCUUUGCAAACUGUGAUCUCCUUCCUCUUGUUACUUGCUAUUUACAUCAAUUUGGAAUCUUAGGAGGAGGCUGCAGAAAGAACCUGUCCUCCUGCUCUGCCAAACUACUGCAAUUAUAUAUCCUUCAUUUCAUUCAUCCUAAUUCGGGGAAGCAAGAAGCUAAAACAGACCUUUCUUUUGAUUUUGUGUCAGAGUAGGUGCUGAGUAAAAGACCUGAAACUCUCAAAUUUCUAGAUUCACAAGUGGGACAUCGUGUGUCUCGAAGAGAAAACAAACUGAUGCUGUCUGGAGCAUUUUAUACUUUCUACUGGUUUUUCUGUAUUGUAUGUUUUUGAGUAAUUUCCAAAAGUAUAUCUAGAAAAGUCUUUUACCUAAAGUUAGUCUAAAAAGUAUCUAUAUAUGCAUGUGUGUGUGUAUAUGAAACACUGAAGAGAGAGUGACAAUAACAUAAUCUUAAUCAUUUUUUACAAACUGCCAAAUUAUAGAAAAUAUAAGAAAUUUUUCAGAAUCAUGAAGCCAUGUGUAUUUCACAUAUACAUUUCAUAUUAUCAUAUUUCAUUUGAAAAAUUUAUAAUCUCUACUUUUAGUUGUUAAGAACUUGCAGCUUAUUUCACAAAAUCAUUUCUCUUUUCCACUGUUAUUUGUACCAUACAUAGGUACCAUAGUGUGCUUAAACAUGAUUAUUUUAACUUCUAGUUUUUUGAAUGGUAUGAGCAUUCUAUCCUAAAUCAAUAAUGAGGUUUUAUCCUUGGGGUAGUUUUUAUUUCAUAAUGAAUUCUAAUUUUAUGUUCAGUUUAAAGCAAACAAUUAUUGUUAGAACACUGUGCACAAAAUAAAAUUCAAGGAUGA
This is a non-coding RNA of Macaca mulatta (Rhesus monkey), 1765 nucleotides long. Lineage: Eukaryota; Metazoa; Chordata; Mammalia; Primates; Cercopithecidae. The record is from RefSeq and is a predicted model, not a curated record.